Molecule: ribosomal RNA, 617 nt
Filed under: Marinobacter sp.
Lineage: Bacteria; Pseudomonadati; Pseudomonadota; Gammaproteobacteria; Pseudomonadales; Marinobacteraceae
Description: bacterial SSU rRNA
Rfam family: Bacterial small subunit ribosomal RNA
Source: RNAcentral
UCGAGCGGAACGAUGGUAGCUUGCUACCAGGCGUCGAGCGGCGGACGGGUGAGUAAUGCUUAGGAAUCUGCCCAGUAGUGGGGGAUAGCCCGGGGAAACCCGGAUUAAUACCGCAUACGCCCUUUUGGGGAAAGCAGGGGAUCUUCGGACCUUGCGCUAUUGGAUGAGCCUAAGUCGGAUUAGCUAGUUGGUGGGGUAAAGGCUCACCAAGGCGACGAUCCGUAGCUGGUCUGAGAGGAUGAUCAGCCACAUCGGGACUGAGACACGGCCCGAACUCCUACGGGAGGCAGCAGUGGGGAAUAUUGGACAAUGGGGGCAACCCUGAUCCAGCCAUGCCGCGUGUGUGAAGAAGGCUUUCGGGUUGUAAAGCACUUUCAGUGAGGAGGAAGGCCUUAAGAUUAAUACUCUUNAGGAUUGACGUCACUCACAGAAGAAGCACCGGCUAACUCCGUGCCAGCAGCCGCGGUAAUACGGAGGGUGCAAGCGUUAAUCGGAAUUACUGGGCGUAAAGCGCGCGUAGGUGGUUGAGUAAGCGAGAUGUGAAAGCCCCGGGCUUAACCUGGGAACGGCAUUUCGAACUGCUCGACUAGAGUGUGGUAGAGGGUAGUGGAAUUUCC